CCUACGGGUGGCAGCAGUGGGGAAUAUUGCACAAUGGGGGAAACCCUGAUGCAGCGACGCCGCGUGAGUGAAGAAGUAUUUCGGUAUGUAAAGCUCUAUCAGCAGGGAAGAAAAUGACGGCACCUGAUUAAGAAGCCCCGGCUAACUACGUGCCAGCAGCCGCGGUAAUACGUAGGGGGCAAGCGUUAUCCGGAUUUUCUGGGUGGAAAGGGAGCGUAGACGGCAGCACAAGUCUGGAGUGAAAUGCCGGGGCUUAACCCCGGAACUGCUUUGGAAACUGUGCAGCUAGAGUGCGGGAGAGGUAGGUGGAAUUCCUGGUGUAGCGGUGAAAUGCGUAGAUAUUAGGAGGAACACCGGUGGCGAAGGCAGCUUACUGGACUGUAACUGACGUUGAGGCUCGAAAGCGUGGGGAGCAAACAGGAUUAGAUACCCUAGUAGUC
Molecule: ribosomal RNA, 440 nt
Filed under: uncultured bacterium
Lineage: Bacteria
Description: partial 16S ribosomal RNA
Rfam family: Bacterial small subunit ribosomal RNA
Source: RNAcentral